AUUGAACGCUGGCGGCAUGCCUUACACAUGCAAGUCGAACGGCAGCGCGGGAGCAAUCCUGGCGGCGAGUGGCGAACGGGUGAGUAAUAUAUCGGAACGUGCCCAGUAGUGGGGGAUAGCCCGGCGAAAGCCGGAUUAAUACCGCAUGAGACCUGAGGGUGAAAGCGGGGGAUCGCAAGACCUCGCGCUAUUGGAGCGGCCGAUAUCAGAUUAGCUAGUUGGUGGGGUAAAGGCCUACCAAGGCAACGAUCUGUAGUUGGUCUGAGAGGACGACCAGCCACACUGGGACUGAGACACGGCCCAGACUCCUACGGGAGGCAGCAGUGGGGAAUUUUGGGCAAUGGGCGCAAGCCUGAUCCAGCAAUGCCGCGUGCAGGAA
Molecule: ribosomal RNA, 379 nt
Filed under: uncultured bacterium
Lineage: Bacteria
Description: bacterial SSU rRNA
Rfam family: Bacterial small subunit ribosomal RNA
Source: RNAcentral